RNAcentral lists this unclassified non-coding RNA (431 nucleotides) under fungal sp. Its description in RNAcentral is "partial internal transcribed spacer region". The stretch from base 1 to 46 matches the Rfam family "Eukaryotic small subunit ribosomal RNA", at positions 1786 to 1831 of the family's 1831-position model. Lineage: Eukaryota; Fungi. The record is from RNAcentral.
AAGUCGUAACAAGGUUUCCGUAGGUGAACCUGCGGAAGGAUCAUUACAACACCCUUUUUUUUUUAUUAAUUAUUAAUUUUUAUUAAUUAAUAAUAAUAAAAUAAACCCACUUUGUUGAACCUAUUUUACUAUUUUGUUAUGAAUUAUUUUUGUUAUGAAUGGGAUUUUCUUUUUUUUUUCUACAAAAAAAGAGAAGAUUUCCAUUUUCAUAUCCAAUCUUAUCUUUAUCUUAUUAUCUCUUUUUUUCUUCUUUUUUUUGGAUCUUCAACUUUGCUUUGAAGUAAACAAAAAAACAAAAGAAAACCAUAGAUAAUUCUGUUGAAAAACAAAACAAAAUUUUAAUUAUUAUUAUGAAUCUAAACCAUUUAUAAUAAUAAAUAAUAAUAUAAUAUGAGAGUACAACUCUUAACAAUGGAUAUCUAGGCUCUCGU